RNAcentral lists this long non-coding RNA (1336 nucleotides) under Ananas comosus (pineapple). RNAcentral's name for it is "long non-coding RNA (ACOM_LNC006148)". The record is from RNAcentral. Lineage: Eukaryota; Viridiplantae; Streptophyta; Magnoliopsida; Poales; Bromeliaceae.
AUAUNGGGCCCUUCGUACUCAUAAGUUGUUUCGAUGAUGAAGCUUCCGAAUCAACGAUCUACUCCGUUAAAUAUGAUCUAGAGUAUUUAAAACUUAUAAAAAAUAAAAUUCAUAAUUUUUCGAAAUCAAAAUAAAAUCAAUCAAACGGGCAUAAAAUGAACGGUCAAAAUUAAACGACGUCCUAAAAAUGGAUGAUCGGAUCCUUCAAUUUAAGAUCGGAGUUAUUGAUCUUUAUCUAAGUAAUGAAUAGAAUUUUUUAUCAAAAAUUCAACCUAUUCUAAUUCUUUUACACCGUUAAACUAGCAAAUAUCCCAUACCGACCGUUAAAAAUUGUCAAUUUUGUGAGCCUUUGAUCGUAAGGUAAAUGAUAUCGAAAAAUUAUGAAAUUUGAUUUCUAGAAGUUUAAAUGCUCUAUAUAACGUUUAAUGGUGUGCAUCGUCGAUUCGGAAGCUCUAUCAUCGAAAACAACUUAUGAGUACGAGGGCAAUCGUACUCAUAAGAGUAUAGUAGCCGGACUAGCUGGACUAUAGUAACCCUACUCUAUAUAUAUAUAUAUAUAUAUAUAUAUAUAGAGUAGGGUUACUAUACUCUUAUGAGUAUAGAACCCUUACUACUCAUAAGUUGUUUUCAAUGUUGGAGUUUUCAAAUCGACGAUUCACACCGUUAAACAUGAUUUAGAGUAUUUGAAACUUCUAGAAAAUAAAUUUCAUAAAUUUUCGAAAUCAUUAUAAAGUUCAUCGAGCGAGUAUAAAAUGAACGGUUAAAAUCGAAUGACAUCCUAAAAAUGGAUGAUCGGAUCCUUCAAUUUAAGAUCGGAGUUAUUGAUCUUUAUUUAGAUAGUGAAUAGAAUUUUCUAUCAAAAAUUCAACCUAUUUCGAUUCUUUUUCACCGUUAAACUAGCAAAUAUCUCAUGCCAGUUGUUAAAAAUUGUCAAUUUUUUGACCUUUUGAUCGUAAGGUAAAUGAUAUCGAAAAAUUAUAAAAUUUAAUUUCUAGAAGUUUUAAAUGCUCUAGAAAAUAUUUAACUGUAUGGAUCGUCGAUUCAAAAGCUUUACCAUAAAAAACAACUUAUGAGUACGAGGGCGAUCGUACUCAUAAUCAUAGUUAGUUAAUUCGCGAAUUAUUCGCGAAUUAUUCGCGAAUUUUUGGAAAUCCGAAUUAAACGGCCAUUUUCGAAUUUUUGGAAAAAAUUCGGAAAAAAACGGAAUUUUUUGACGAAAAAUACGUGUUCGCGUAUUAUACGGCGGGCCGAAUUAUUCGGCCCAAAAAAACUGACCAAGCCCGCAGCCCGCAACCCGCGCGCCUGCCUGCGCCUGCCCGCCCCGCCCGCACCUGCC